UUAGAUAAAACGCGAGGCACUCAAUAGGAACAUUGAUGAUUUCACCAUCCAGGGAUGUCCCGGAAAGAUUUUCGCGGUAUUACCGACCGUCGGGCCGGCUAUCCCCCGCCGAAGGUCAUGUUUCUCCACGUGUUUUGCAAAGACGGAGAU
RNAcentral lists this ribosomal RNA (150 nucleotides) under uncultured bacterium. RNAcentral's name for it is "partial 16S ribosomal RNA". The record is from RNAcentral.